UCGUGGUGAUACCUCUUGAGCAUAGAGACAUGGAAAACAUCAUGUAGGCCAGAGAAUUCAGAGGGUAAAGCAAAAUUAUAUGACACAGGGCCUACAUACUCCAAAAUCUCAAAAUGUCCAAUAAAACAAGGGCUUAACUUUCCUCUCUUCCCAUACCGCAUUUUCUAUUGUAUUGAAAAACCUUCAAAAUGUGGUCACCCACAAUAAAUUUCAAAGCUCUCAUUCAGUUGUCAGCAUAACUCUUUUGACAACUCUACAUGGGAAUGAAGUUCUUAUGGACGACGAUAACUUUGUCAACGGUCUCCUGGAUGUAAUCCAUUCCUGGGAGAUGUUUGUUCUCUAUUUCAUUCCAAUAGGAUGGGGAUCGAUAGGGCCAACCAUAGAGAGCU
RNAcentral lists this long non-coding RNA (389 nucleotides) under Carica papaya (papaya). RNAcentral describes it as "long non-coding RNA (CPAP_LNC011397)". Lineage: Eukaryota; Viridiplantae; Streptophyta; Magnoliopsida; Brassicales; Caricaceae. The record is from RNAcentral.